UACGGGGGGGGUAAGCGUUGUUCGGAAUUACUGGGCGUAAAGGGCUCGUAGGCGGCCAACUAAGUCAGACGUGAAAUCCCUCAGCUUAACUGGGGAACUGCGUCUGAUACUGGAUGGCUUGGAUUCGGGAGAGGAAUGCGGAAUUCCAGGUGUAGCGGUGAAAUGCGUAGAUAUCUGGAGGAACACCGGUGGCGAAGGCGGCAUUCUGGACCGAUAUUGACGCUGAGGAGCGAAAGCCAGGGGAGCAAACAGG
This 253-nucleotide ribosomal RNA is filed under the name uncultured bacterium. RNAcentral describes it as "partial 16S ribosomal RNA". It matches the Rfam family "Bacterial small subunit ribosomal RNA", at positions 524 to 776 of the family's 1533-position model. The record is from RNAcentral.